AAGCCGUAAGGUGGAGCUAAUCCCUUAAAGCUACUCUCAGUUCGGAUUGUAGGCUGAAACUCGCCUACAUGAAGCUGGAGUUACUAGUAAUCGCAGAUCAGAAUGCUGCGGUGAAUGCGUUCCCGGGUCUUGUACACACCGCCCGUCACCCCACGGGAGUUGGAGACGCCCGAAGCCGAUUAUCUAACCUUUUGGAAGAAGUCGUCGAAGGUGGAAUCAAUAACUGGGGUGAAGUCGUAACAAGG
Molecule: ribosomal RNA, 245 nt
Filed under: Clostridioides difficile
Lineage: Bacteria; Bacillati; Bacillota; Clostridia; Peptostreptococcales; Peptostreptococcaceae
Description: partial 16S ribosomal RNA
Rfam family: Bacterial small subunit ribosomal RNA
Source: RNAcentral